AAAUGAAACAUCAUUGGAAAUAGUAAAUACAUGGAGUUUCACCUGCCACCUGGAUCGUUUCCUAUUUUUCUGCAGCCACUUCAGGGCGGGGACCCAGUAUCACGAAGCUGCAAGGUAAAAAGGAUCAAACCUUAACUGCCUGCAUGUGCUCACAGGAACAUAACUGAGUGAGGCUCACCAGCAACCAGGAAGUGAGCUGAGCCUAACAUAUGGGAGAGAUCCUGUCUCAUCUGCAGAGAAGAGCUGCUAUAUAGGAAAGUAUCUGCUCAUUGCUGCCAUGUGGGAAUGCUGGUAUUGCUGGACUUUCUGAUAUUUUAGGAGAAACUGCUGAUCUGUACAUGAAGUCUGAUAUAUAAAUGAUGAUACUAUAUUUAUAUAUCUAUGGAUAAAUAAAUAAUGUCAACUGGUUCCA
RNAcentral lists this long non-coding RNA (412 nucleotides) under Pongo abelii (Sumatran orangutan). RNAcentral's name for it is "lincRNA". The record is from RNAcentral. Lineage: Eukaryota; Metazoa; Chordata; Mammalia; Primates; Hominidae.